RNAcentral lists this long non-coding RNA (720 nucleotides) under Ailuropoda melanoleuca (giant panda). RNAcentral's name for it is "lncRNA (ENSAMEG00000029249.1)". Lineage: Eukaryota; Metazoa; Chordata; Mammalia; Carnivora; Ursidae. The record is from RNAcentral.
AUGGUGGAUGACUGUCUUCCUGUGCAUUGUGCACCUCCCAUCAGCUCUCAGAUCAUAAGGGGCCCUUCCAAGUAUGUGCCCUCCCUGGGCUGCCGGGUCCCCCGUGCGCUCUCUCCGCAGGAAGGAUGGUGUCUCACCUGCACGGCAAUGGGAACACCUGUGGUUUGGUCCCGGUGUCCCGGCGUCCUGGAAGGGGUCUACCAUGCUCUCCAUAAGCUACCCAUGGGCUGGGGCUUAUGGAACGCCGUCUCCAUAGGGUCUGAAGGAGGGUCUCUGCUCCACCACUCAGGUUACUACGGCAACACCGACUGGGACUACGGCCGCUACCCGCCCAGACCCAAGCCGCCCGCAGCAGGUGGUGGCAGUUACUACCCCAGCCACGACGGGUCCGGAAACACGCACGGCGGAGACGGAUACUCGACCUACGGGAACGCACAGGGUAACACAGUAGCGAAAAUCGUGUCUCCCAUCGUGUCCGUGCUGGUGGUCACGCUGGUGGGAGCGGCGGCUGGUUAUUGCCAACGGAACAGAAGGAGAAACUGUUUCAGGGCAAAUGGCAAGUUUCUGGCUCUAAAAAUACUUCCUGGAGUCUGUCACUGGGCAGGGUUCUUUCUGGGUACGUCCCCUCGAGCAGCCUUGCCUAAGGAAGUGGUUUUAAGUUGGGUCCUCACUGGGGAUGCUGUUCCUUUUUUUUUUCUCUCUCUCCAUAUUUUUAACUAG